RNAcentral lists this long non-coding RNA (3332 nucleotides) under Helianthus annuus (common sunflower). RNAcentral's name for it is "hypothetical non coding rna". The record is from RNAcentral. Lineage: Eukaryota; Viridiplantae; Streptophyta; Magnoliopsida; Asterales; Asteraceae.
AUGUCUGGUCGUACAGGAAAGGGCAGGGGCGACUCCCCACUCUUCAAAACCCUAGAACUUCACUAAUCUUGCAAAUUGAAGGUCCAAUUCAGUCCAAAAUCGAAAUUUAAGCAUGGAUUAUUAAUCCUCAUCACAAGAGGAUUAAAAGUUUGAUCUCGUUAAGCUAAGUGGGAGCUGGAAAGGAAUGGAUCAAACGGAUCAUGGAUGCGAAGAAUGUUUGCGCGGACACGACGGUAAAACGGCUUAUGGAAUUUACGUGGCUAUGAAUCAGCAAAUUAUUAAGGCAAGGUAUUAAAACGGGUCAAUACUUUGACCCGCGCCAGGUACGCGUAAAUUUGGUGAAAGAUAUGUGAAUACCUUAAUGUAGAAAAAUGACAUGUGAAAGUAGAGAGUAGGAUUUAAACUUAAAUGAUUAAAUCCUCUCUAACGGGUCAAAAUAAGAACUUGAACGUAAAUGGGUUCUAACUAAGUAAGAAACCCAUGAUUUAUGAUUUAUUUGAUAGGAAAUAUUGAAAUUAUGAUUUUCAUGAGUUUAUAGAGCAAGUAAACAUGUUUGUUUGAUAAAAUCGCGAACAGGUUAAAAUUUGGUAAAAAUGGUAAUAAGCCGAAGACUUAAAAGUCUUAAAUUUUGUUAAUUCGGAUGUUGGAUUUUGACUCCAUAUUAUGAAGGGUCAAAUUACAAUCAUGUAGGAAGAAACGGUGGGUCAAACGGAUAAGCGGUUUGAAAGAUACGAAAGUUUUCGUGCCAAUAAACGGCAAAAUAGGAAAGCUGGAAUGCAGGGGCCACCCUUACGGUGUCACCGUAAGUUAUGGUGGAGUUGAAGGCUUUACGGCAGCCCCCUACUGAUUUACGGUAGGGGCAUGUCACACCAGGGGCCAUCGUAACUUACGGUGCCACCGUAAGUUACGGUGGAGGCCAGUUGGGAAAUCCAUGUUUUGAGAUCAAGAGUUUAACGUUGGGAAUUCUUUUUCCUUCCAUUAUCAUUACCGGAUUUGUUUAGAUUUAUUUCAAUCCACGUAUGACUAAAGCAUUUCAUGUUUAUGAAAUGUAGGUUCAUUUUGGAUGCCGAGAGACGAUCAAGCUCAUCGAAGAACCGAACACGAUAUAGUUACAUGCUUCCGCACUUUGCCACGUUGUAUAUUUUAAACAACGAAUUCGAUCACGUUUUGUAGAAUAACUUAUGAAUUGUAAAUGUUUUAAUUUACUCGAAAUUUUCUAAGGAUACUUAACCUUAAAUACAUGUUUGUUUUCGUAAAUUAUACGAAAACCUUUAAAAUAAUAACUAGGGUGUUACAAGUUGGUAAUCAGAGCUCAUGGUUAAAGAGUAAAGUGUGUUUGGUUCGAGGCUUGAUCGCAAAUCCGGUAAGUACAUGUAUAUUAAUGGUUUGGUAUGUGUUGAAAUGUUGUGAACAACACAUAGGGUUAUCGUGUGAUACACGUUACCUCAAUUAAAUGAUAAAUAUAGUUGAGAAAAUUGCGCGCGUUGACGCGUAUAGUAGAAAAGCCUUGUAUUAUAAUACGGGCGAUUAUUGAAGUUGAUAUUACUAAUUCUUGUAAAUGUUUUAAUUCAAGGACACUCGCAUCUGAAGAUAGCGGGAGUUUAACAAAUUGCGGAUAUGAUGAUGGAACGGUCCGAGAUGUGACAAGAAGAGCAUACUCAUCAAGGACCUAAAUCGCGUAACGAUCGCAAAUAAGUAAUGGCAAGGAAUGCCCGUCGGGGCAAGCAUUACCAGGUGCACAUUUUAAACUUAUAGUACAAACAGUAAUAUGCAACAAAUACAUAGUGAAUGACAGUUGCAUAUAGAAUAUGAAACUUGGAAAAACCUGGAUAGGUUACCUAUCCAGGAUGACGUUUCCAAGAGAAAUUCAGUAGAGAAUAUGUAUUAUUCACAAAUUGUGAAUAACAAGACAAUAACAGAAUUCAGUUUAUAUAGAAACUUGGACGAGAGUGAUCAUCCAAGUAAGUAUUCUCAAUAUAAAUCCUAUUGAGAAAAGUAAUGAUCACAUCAACAAAUGUGAAUAAAUGUUUAUAAAAAGGGACAUUUUACAUGUUCAAGGAUAAACGACUAAAACUAAUAAUUGUUAACUAACAAUUAAAUAAAGUUUUACCAAAUGAAAUCAUAAAUAUGGAAAUAAUUUGAGGAGUUACUUACAUGGGACGUGAUGUGGUAAUUAUAAUAAGGUCAGCGUACCAUGUGUUGAUCGCUUACUCUGGCCAAGUAAGUAGUGAACACAUGAUAGCAUGAGCUUCUUAUAAUGAGCGCAGUUAUGUCCGAUGUAGUAAGGUCAAGAUGAAUGAAAAUUUAAAGGAUCCUUAGGGUCAAGAAAUGUUACGGGCAUACUCGUAUAAAUGGUUUUCGCGGGAACCAUAAAAACGACGUAUGGCGCACAUAGAAAUAAAUGACCCAAGGAAAUUCGUGACAUAAGUCAUUUCGGACGAAACAACCAUGGUAGACAAAAAGGGCAUUGUAAAACCAAAGUAUAAAUGACCCGCGGGGUCAUAGAAACAAAGGUAUUGCCCACAUGGGAAAAACGAUCAAAAACCAUGGUAGACAAAAAGGGCAUUGUAAAACCAAAGUAUAAAUGACCCGCGGGGUCAUAGAAACAAAGGUAUUGCCCACAUGGGAAAAACGAUCAAAGUCGUUGACUUUGGUCGUAGUAAAGAAAUGAUGAUGAUGAUGAUAAUCAUCAUUCAUAGUUUAUAAGACUGUCAAGGAUGGUCGAAUAAAGAAUAAAGGUUUGGUUGAAUAAAAGCGAUGGAUUUCGCUAAGACAACCAAACAAAUUAAAACGAAAUCUUAAUGUAUACCGGAAUGCUUGCACUAAUAAUGACAUCGGUAAAGUACCCGGUUGAUGGGUAAGGAUUUAAACACAUGCGUAAACCGAGAAACGGGAACACGAAUUUAAAGUCAAAAGACUCGGAUUAUGAGUUAUGACUGAAAGACCAUAAAAUUUCGCAAACAGAAAUUUUGAUAAUUAUAUUCAACUAUUUUGAGGUUGAACGGGUUGAAUAAAGUAUAAUGCUUGAUGGCAUAAGUAAGCGCAAGCCGGAUAACGGUAAGCUUGAGACAAACCGAUGCUUAAUUGACGUGAGAAGUCAUAGAGUCGGAAGAAUUAUCCGAAAGAAAACGAUUAUAGACACGAACUACAGUCAAAGUUAACGGAUUUCAAGCAUGAAAACAAAUGAUUUUCAAACAAAAAAAAGAGAGUGCUUUGACACCAAAUAUAUAUUUUAAUAAAGACACGAGUAAAAAGAAUGAUCUACGGGAUCAUCAUAACCUUCAGGUUAUAAACAGUGUAAAGGUCUACGGGACCAAAAUGACCUACGGGUC